GAUUGAACGCUGGCGGCAGGCCUAACCCAUGCAAGUCGAGCGGAUGAAGGGAGCUUGCUCCUGGAUUCAGCGGCGGACGGGUGAGUAAUGCCUAGGAAUCUGCCUGGUAGUGGGGGAUAACGUCCGGAAACGGGCGCUAAUACCGCAUACGUCCUGAGGGAGAAAGUGGGGGAUCUUCGGACCUCACGCUAUCAGAUGAGCCUAGGUCGGAUUAGCUAGUUGGUGGGGUAAAGGCCUACCAAGGCGACGAUCCGUAACUGGUCUGAGAGGAUGAUCAGUCACACUGGAACUGAGACACGGUCCAGACUCCUACGGGAGGCAGCAGUGGGGAAUAUUGGACAAUGGGCGAAAGCCUGAUCCAGCCAUGCCGCGUGCGUGAAGAAGGUCUUCGGAUUGUAAAGCACUUUAAGUUGGGAGGAAGGGCAGUAAGUUAAUACCUUGCUGUUUUGACGUUACCAACAGAAUAAGCACCGGCUAACUUCGUG
This 485-nucleotide ribosomal RNA is filed under the name uncultured bacterium. RNAcentral describes it as "partial 16S ribosomal RNA". It matches the Rfam family "Bacterial small subunit ribosomal RNA", at positions 27 to 507 of the family's 1533-position model. The record is from RNAcentral.